GGGAGCAUCAGGUAUCGGCAGAGGGUUCGAUCUGGCUCGUUGAACGCUGGCGGGAUGCUUUACACAUGCAAGUCGAACAGCAGCCUGGACUUCGAUCCUGGUGGCAGUGGCGAGCGGGUGAGUAAUGUAUCGGAACGUGCCUAAUAGCGGGGGAUAACUGCGGCGUAGCAAUACCAUGCACCCCUUCAGGGGAAAGCGGGGGACCUUUGACCUCACUAUUAAACGGCCGAUACUCAGUUGAGCUAGUUGGUGGAGUAACGCUCGCAGGGCGACGAAAUCGUAGCUGGUUUGAGAGGACGACCCACCACUGGGACUGAGACACGGCCCAGACUCACAGGAGGCAGCAGUGGGGUACGGACAAUGGGGAAACCUGAUCCAGCCAUCCGCGUGUUGAUGACCUUCAGGUUGUAAAGCACUUUUGGCAGGGAAAACGGCACGGGAUAAUACCCCGUGCAAGCUGACGAAUUACCUGCAGAAUAAGCACCGGCUAACUACGUGCCAGCAGCCGCGGUAAUACGUAGGGUGCAAGCAUUAAUCGGAAUUACUGGGCGUAAAGCGUGCGCAGGCGGUUCGGAAAGAAGAUGUGAAAUCCCAGAGCUUAACUUUGGAACUGCAUUUUUAACUACUGACUCAGGUGUGUCAGAGGAGUGGAGAUUCACGUGUAGCAGUGAAGUGCAUAGCGAAUAUGCGGAGGAACACCCUAGUAGCGGCUACGCCUCUAGGUUAUUUGGCUUUUCGCCCUUGCACCCAUCGGUGGCAGGGUUACGGCCACCUUUGGUGAUUCCACGCCCCAACGAUGUCAACUACUGUUGGGGCCUUCGGGCCUUGGUAGCGCAGCUAACGCGUGAAGUUGACCGCCUGGGGAAUUACGGUCGCAAGAAGAUUAAAACUCAAAGGAAUUGACGGGGACCACCUGACGGUGGAUGAUGUGGAUUAAUUCGAUGCAACGCGAAAAACCUUACCUACCCUUGACAUGUCUGGAAUCCCGAAGAGAUUUGGGAGUGUGAGAGAACCGGAACACAGGUGCUGCAUGGCUGUCGUCAGCUCGUGUCGUGAGAUGUUGGGUUAAGUCCCGCAACGAGCGCAACCCUUGUCAUUAGUUGCUCACGAAGAAGGCACUCUAAUGAGACUGCCGGUGACAAACCGGAAAGGUGGGGAUGACGUCAAGUCCUCAUGGCCCUUAUGGGUAGGGCUUCACGUCAUACAAUGGUCGGGACAGAGGGUCGUAACCGCGAGGCCAAUCCCAGAAACCCGAUCGUAGUCCGGAUCGCAGUCUGCAACUCGACUGCCGUGAAGUCAGAUCCUUUAAUAAUCAUGAUCAGCAUGUCGCAGUACAGACCGUUCCCGGGUCUUGUACACCGCCCGUCACACCUGCAUGAGUGGGUUUACCAAAUGAUUAGCCUAACCACUGGGAGGCGUUACACAUUUAGAGGAUUCAUGACUGGGGUGAAGUCGUAACAAAGGCG
RNAcentral lists this ribosomal RNA (1466 nucleotides) under uncultured Bordetella sp. RNAcentral describes it as "partial 16S-23S ribosomal RNA intergenic spacer". It matches the Rfam family "Bacterial small subunit ribosomal RNA". Lineage: Bacteria; Pseudomonadati; Pseudomonadota; Betaproteobacteria; Burkholderiales; Alcaligenaceae. The record is from RNAcentral.